Molecule: long non-coding RNA, 264 nt
Filed under: Gossypium barbadense (sea-island cotton)
Lineage: Eukaryota; Viridiplantae; Streptophyta; Magnoliopsida; Malvales; Malvaceae
Description: long non-coding RNA (GBAR_LNC001613)
Source: RNAcentral
GGCGGCUAACUAGGCUAGGUUUUUUCUUUUUUGGUUUUCUGAUAAGUAUUGGGCUAGGGUUAGGCUGAAUUUGGGUUUGGCCUGUUGGGUAGGUUUAGUUUUGGGUUAGUGGGUUUAAUUUAGAUGGGUUAUGUUUAGUUUAAUUUGGGCUGGUAAUUGGUUUAUUGUUUUGGGUUGUAAAAAAAAUUGGACUUUAUUAUUAUUUUUUUGUUUGGUUAUUUUCUAGGCUCGGGCCAAAUUGGGCCUCUACAGGCCCGUUUAAAA